This 500-nucleotide ribosomal RNA is filed under the name uncultured bacterium. Its description in RNAcentral is "partial 16S ribosomal RNA". It matches the Rfam family "Bacterial small subunit ribosomal RNA", at positions 28 to 508 of the family's 1533-position model. The record is from RNAcentral.
GACGAACGCUGGCGGCGUGCCUAAUACAUGCAAGUCGAGCGGACUGAAUGGGAGCUUGCUCUUGUUCGGUCAGCGGCGGACGGGUGAGUAACACGUGGGCAACCUGCCCGCAAGACCGGGAUAACUCCGGGAAACCGGAGCUAAUACCGGAUAACACCGAAGACCGCAUGGUCUUUGGUUGAAAGGCGGCGCAAGCUGCCACUUGCGGAUGGGCCCGCGGCGCAUUAGCUAGUUGGUGAGGUAACGGCUCACCAAGGCGACGAUGCGUAGCCGGCCUGAGGGGGGGGCCCGCCCCCCCUGGGCAGGGGACCCGCCCCGACCGCCGCCGGGGGGCGCCGGGAGGGAUCCCCCGGCAAGGGGCGCAGGCCGGAGGGGGGGGCCCGGGGGGGGGGAAGAGGGCCUUCGGGUGGUAAAGCUGGGUUGGGGGGGAGGAAGGGGCGCCGUUUGAAGAAGGGGGCGGGGUGACGGUCCCUCACGGGGAAGCCCCGGCUAACUACGGC